Molecule: transfer RNA, 71 nt
Filed under: Pristionchus pacificus
Lineage: Eukaryota; Metazoa; Nematoda; Chromadorea; Rhabditida; Neodiplogasteridae
Description: tRNA-Thr (GGT) (tRNA-Thr-GGT-7-1)
Rfam family: tRNA
About the family: Transfer RNA (tRNA) molecules are approximately 80 nucleotides in length.
Source: Rfam by way of RNAcentral
GCACAGGUAGUUCAGUGGUAGAACUCCUGCCCGGUAAGCUGAAGCCCCGGGUUCGAUUCCCGGUCUGUGCA